CCUACGGGAGGCAGCAGUGAGGAAUAUUGGUCAAUGGACGAGAGUCUGAACCAGCCAAGUAGCGUGAAGGAUGACUGCCCUAUGGGUUGUAAACUUCUUUUAUAAAGGAAUAAAACGAGGCACGUGUGCCUUUUUGCAUGUACUUUAUGAAUAAGGAUCGGAUAACUCCGUGCCAGCAGCCGCGGUAAUACGGAGGAUCCGAGCGUUAUCCGGAGUUAUUGGGUUUAAAGGGAGCGUAGAUGGGUUGUUAAGUCAGUUGUGAAAGUUUGGGGCUCAACCGUAAAAUUGCAAUUGAUACUGGCAGUCUUGAGUACAGUAGAGGUAGGCGGAAUUCGUGGUGUAGCAGUGAAAUGCUUAGAUAUCACGAAGAACCCCGAUUGCGAAGGCAGCUUACUAAACUGUGACUGACAUUGAUGCUCGAAAGUGUGGGUAUCAAACAGGAUUAGAUACCCGGGUAGUC
This 460-nucleotide ribosomal RNA is filed under the name uncultured bacterium. RNAcentral's name for it is "partial 16S ribosomal RNA". It matches the Rfam family "Bacterial small subunit ribosomal RNA", at positions 338 to 795 of the family's 1533-position model. The record is from RNAcentral.